UUGAAAGGGAAACGAUUGAAGUCAGUCGUGCUGGCGCGAAAUCAACCUUCUCGUCUUGAGAUCACAUGGCGUGGCGAGCCUCAAAACCGUCACGAAGCGUGAACUCUUGGUGAAAUGGAGCACUUUCGUGUCCGCUGGUUAACAUCAAUUUCGAACGUCAUAAAAAGGCUGGAGGGAUGUGGCUCCUUCGGGAGUGUUAUAACCUUUAGCGGAAUGUGGUGUUCGGGAUUGAGGAUUGCAACGAAUACCUUUAGGGCUGUUCCACCUGGCUUCUCUUUGGUAUCCUGGUGGCGACAGCUUGCUGACGUCGUUAGGAUUCGCCUUUGAACAGGUUAGAGUGUGAGCAAAUUCGUUAAGGAUGUUGACGUA
This 369-nucleotide ribosomal RNA is filed under the name uncultured Glomeromycotina. RNAcentral describes it as "LSU rRNA". The record is from RNAcentral. Lineage: Eukaryota; Fungi; Glomeromycota.